Molecule: long non-coding RNA, 784 nt
Organism: Limulus polyphemus (Atlantic horseshoe crab)
Lineage: Eukaryota; Metazoa; Arthropoda; Merostomata; Xiphosura; Limulidae
Exons: 2
Source: RefSeq, a predicted model, not a curated record
UCUUAGUCUGUGACGCAUUCCACAUUUACACAGUUUAGAUGGGUACAGGCUUACUCCAGGACGCAUUCCACAUACACAGUUUAGAUGGAUACAAUCUUAGUCCAGGACACAUUCCACACAUAUACAGUUUAGAUGGGUGCAACCGUACUCCAGGACACAUUCCACGUACACAGUUUAGAUGGGUACAGGCUUACUCCAGGACGCAUUCCACACAUACACAGUUUAGAUGGGUACAGGCUUACUCCAGGACACAUUCCACACAUACACAGUUUAGAUGGGUACAGGCUUACUCCAGGACGCAUUCUACGUACACAGUUUAGAUGGGUACAAUCUUACUCCAGGGCACAUUCCACGUACACAGUUUAGAUGGGUACAGGCUUACUCCAGGACGCAUUCCAUAUAUCCAGUUUAGAUGGGUACAGGCUUACUCCAAGACACAUUCCACAUACACAGUUUAGAUGGGUACAGGCUUACUCCAGGACGCAUUCCAUAUAUACAGUUUAGAUGGAUACAAUAUUACUCCAGGAUACAUUCCACACAUACGUACCAUUGUAUUCACGGUAGUGAACGUUUCGUCGUGUACUAAGUACAAGUCAGAACAAAACUACUUGGAUGAAUGUCAUGACUUUGGCUUUAAUUAAAACAAAGAUUAAAUCAGAGUGUGUCAGUGGGAUACUUUAUCUCUUACAUACUGAAAUCAAGCACAGCAAUCAAGUCAAAAUAGAAUAUGCAGAGACAUGACCGAACCUACUGUUUCCAAUCCUUACCGCUUGGAGGAAUGUUA